GGAUGUGAGGGAAAUCUGGCUGCUGACGUCUGUCACCCCAUUGAUCGCCAGGGUUGAUUCGGCUGAUCUGGUUGGCUAAGCAGGUGUCCCCUUCCUCCCUCACCACUCCAUGUGCGUCCCUCCCAAAGCUGCGAGCUAGGUUGAAGAGGAUGGUCUUCCCCUAAUCGAGACUGACUGGACUUCGGUUGAAGGUAUACAAGUAGCUGCACUCCCCUGCUAUAACCUCCAAACAAGCUCAAGAGAUUGGAGCUGAUGACCUUAAGUGCUUGCUUUUUGCCCAUUGACCAGAUAACUAGAACUAUCUGCAUUAUCUAUGG
Molecule: unclassified non-coding RNA, 317 nt
Organism: Erinaceus europaeus (western European hedgehog)
Lineage: Eukaryota; Metazoa; Chordata; Mammalia; Eulipotyphla; Erinaceidae
Gene: 7SK
Rfam family: 7SK RNA
About the family: 7SK was discovered as an abundant small nuclear RNA in the mid-70s but a possible function has only recently been suggested. Two independent studies have found that 7SK RNA binds the CDK9/cyclin T complex (known as elongation factor P-TEFb).
Source: Ensembl